CCUACGGGUGGCAGCAGUGAGGAAUAUUGGUCAAUGGUCGGGAGACUGAACCAGCCAAGCCGCGUGAGGGAUGAAGGUACAGAGUAUCGUAAACCUCUUUUGUCAGGGAACAAAGGCGGGGACGUGUCCCCGGAUGAGUGUACCUGAAGAAAAAGCAUCGGCUAACUCCGUGCCAGCAGCCGCGGUAAUACGGAGGAUGCGAGCGUUAUCCGGAUUUAUUGGGUUAAAAGGGGGGGCGGCGGGACGGUUAAGUCAGCGGUAAAAGCCCGGGGCUCAACCCCGGCCCGCCGUUGAAACUGGCAGUCUCGAGUUGGAGAGAAGUAUGCGGAAUGCGCGGUGUAGCGGUGAAAUGCAUAGAUAUCGCGCAGAACUCCGAUUGCGAAGGCAGCAUGCCGGCUCCACACUGACGCUGAGGCACGAAAGCGUGGGUAUCGAACAGGAUUAGAUACCCUGGUAGUC
Molecule: ribosomal RNA, 459 nt
Filed under: uncultured bacterium
Lineage: Bacteria
Description: partial 16S ribosomal RNA
Rfam family: Bacterial small subunit ribosomal RNA
Source: RNAcentral